This 503-nucleotide ribosomal RNA is filed under the name uncultured bacterium. Its description in RNAcentral is "partial 16S ribosomal RNA". It matches the Rfam family "Bacterial small subunit ribosomal RNA", at positions 30 to 523 of the family's 1533-position model. The record is from RNAcentral.
AUUGAACGCUGGCGGCAGGCUUAACACAUGCAAGUCGAGCGGGGUGAUGGUGCUUGCACUAUCACUUAGCGGCGGACGGGUGAGUAAUGCUUAGGAAUCUGCCUAUUAGUGGGGGACAACAUCUCGAAAGGGAUGCUAAUACCGCAUACGUCCUACGGGAGAAAGCAGGGGAUCACUUGUGACCUUGCGCUAAUAGAUGAGCCUAAGUCGGAUUAGCUAGUUGGUGGGGUAAAGGCCUACCAAGGCGACGAUCUGUAGCGGGUCUGAGAGGAUGAUCCGCCACCCUGGGACUGAGACACGGCCCAGACUCCUACGGGGGGCAGCAGUGGGGAAUAUUGGACAAUGGGGGGAACCCUGAUCCAGCCAUGCCGCGUGUGUGAAGAAGGCCUUAUGGUUGUAAAGCACUUUAAGCGAGGAGGAGGCUCUUUUGGUUAAUACCCAAGAUGAGUGGACGUUACUCGCAGAAUAAGCACCGGCUAACUCUGUGCCAGCCGCCGCAGUAA